RNAcentral lists this ribosomal RNA (685 nucleotides) under uncultured bacterium. RNAcentral's name for it is "bacterial SSU rRNA". It matches the Rfam family "Bacterial small subunit ribosomal RNA", at positions 824 to 1508 of the family's 1533-position model. The record is from RNAcentral.
GGGACCCUUCAACCGGUUCCGGGCCGUAGCUAACCCAUUAAGUGCCCCGCCUGGGGAGUACGGCCGCAAGGCUAAAACUCAAAGGAAUUGACGGGGGCCCGCCCAAGCGGCGGAGCAUGUGGUUUAAUUCGAGGCAACGCGAAGAACUUACCUGGGUUGAACUACGCAGGAAAAGCCGCAGAGAUGCGGUGUCCGCAAGGGCUGCGAUAGGUGGUGCAUGGCUGUCGUCAGCUCGUGUCGUGAGAUGUUGGGUUAAGUCCCGCAACGAGCGCAACCCUUGUCCUAUGUUGCCAGCGGGUAAUGCCGGGGACUCGUAGGAGACUGCCGGGGUCAACUCGGAGGAAGGUGGGGAUGACGUCAAGUCAUCAUGCCCCUUAUGUCCAGGGCUGCACACAUGCUACAAUGGCCGGUACAAAGGGCUGCUACUCCGCGAGGAUGAGCGAAUCCCAAAAAGCCGGUCUCAGUUCGGAUCGCAGUCUGCAACUCGACUGCGUGAAGCCGGAGUCGCUAGUAAUCCCGGAUCAGCAACGCCGGGGUGAAUACAUUCCCGGGCCUUGUACACACCGCCCGUCACACCACGAAAGUCGGCAACACCCGAAGCCGGUGGUCCAACCAUUUAAUGGAGGGAGCCGUCGAAGGUGGAGUCGGUGAUUGGGGUGAAGUCGUAACAAGGUAGCCGUAAUCG